Molecule: ribosomal RNA, 425 nt
Filed under: uncultured bacterium
Lineage: Bacteria
Description: partial 16S ribosomal RNA
Rfam family: Bacterial small subunit ribosomal RNA
Source: RNAcentral
GUGGGGAAUAUUGCACAAUGGGCGAAAGCCUGAUGCAGCGACGCCGCGUGAGCGAAGAAGUAUUUCGGUAUGUAAAGCUCUAUCAGCAGGGAAGAUAAUGACGGUACCUGACUAAGAAGCACCGGCUAAAUACGUGCCAGCAGCCGCGGUAAUACGUAUGGUGCAAGCGUUAUCCGGAUUUACUGGGUGUAAAGGGAGCGCAGGCGGUGCGGCAAGUCUGAUGUGAAAGCCCGGGGCUCAACCCCGGUACUGCAUUGGAAACUGUCGUACUAGAGUGUCGGAGUGGUAAGCGGAAUUCCUAGUGUAGCGGUGAAAUGCGUAGAUAUUAGGAUGAACACCAGUGGCGAAGGCGGCUUACUGGACGAUAACUGACGCUGAGGCUCGAAAGCGUGGGGAGCAAACAGGAUUAGAAACCCUGGUAGUCC